UACGAAGGGGGCUAGCGUCGCUCGGAAUCAUUGGGCGUAAAGAGGGCGUAGGUGGCUUGGUAAGUCAGGUGUGAAAGCCCAGGGCUCAACCCUGGAAGUGCAUUUGAUACUGCCGAGCUUGAGUGUUGGAGAGGUUACCGGAAUACCUGGUGUAGUGGUGAAAUACGUAGAUAUCAGGUGGAACACCGGAGGCGAAGGCGGGUAACUGGCCAAACACUGACACUGAGGCCCGAAAGCGUGGGGAUCAAACAGG
RNAcentral lists this ribosomal RNA (253 nucleotides) under uncultured bacterium. RNAcentral's name for it is "partial 16S ribosomal RNA". It matches the Rfam family "Bacterial small subunit ribosomal RNA", at positions 524 to 776 of the family's 1533-position model. The record is from RNAcentral.